RNAcentral lists this ribosomal RNA (497 nucleotides) under uncultured bacterium. Its description in RNAcentral is "partial 16S ribosomal RNA". It matches the Rfam family "Bacterial small subunit ribosomal RNA", at positions 28 to 507 of the family's 1533-position model. The record is from RNAcentral.
GAUGAACGCUGGCGGCGUGCCUAAUACAUGCAAGUCGAGCGAACAGAUGAGGAGCUUGCUCCUCUGACGUUAGCGGCGGACGGGUGAGUAACACGUGGAUAACCUACCUAUAAGACUGGGAUAACUACGGGAAACCGGAGCUAAUACCGGAUAAUAUAUUGAACCGCAUGGUUCAAUAGUGAAAGACGGUUUUGCUGUCACUUAUAGAUGGAUCCGCGCCGCAUUAGCUAGUUGGUAAGGUAACGGCGUACCAAGGCAACGAGGCGUAGCCGACCUGAGAGGGUGAGCGGCCACACUGGAACGGAGACACGGUCCAGAGGCCUACGGGAGGCAGCAGUAGGGAAUCUUCCGCAAGGGGCGAAGGCCUGACGGAGCAACGCCGCGUGAGUGAUGAAGGUCUUCGGAUCGUAAAACUCUGUUAUUAGGGAAGAACAAAUGUGUAAGUAACUAUGCACGUCUUGACGGUACCUAAUCAGAAAGCCACGGCUAACUACGUG